RNAcentral lists this ribosomal RNA (1429 nucleotides) under uncultured organism. Its description in RNAcentral is "bacterial SSU rRNA". It matches the Rfam family "Bacterial small subunit ribosomal RNA". The record is from RNAcentral.
GCCUAACACAUGCAAGUCGAGGGGUAAGGUCAGCUUGCUGAAUACACGACCGGCGCACGGGUGAGUACACGUUUGCAACCUACCUCUAACUGGAGGAUAGCCCGAAGAAAUUCGGAUUAAUAUUCCAUAAAGUCACUUUAAGGCAUCUUUUAUUGAUUAAAGCUCCGGCGGUUAGAGAUGGGCAUGCGUGUCAUUAGCUAGUUGGUGAGGUAACGGCUCACCAAGGCCACGAUGACUAGGGGGUCUGAGAGGAUGAUCCCCCCACACUGGUACUGAGACACGGACCAGACUCCUACGGGAGGCAGCAGUGAGGAAUAUUGGGCAAUGGACGCAAGUCUGACCCAGCCAUGCCGCGUGCAGGAUGACUGCCCUAUGGGUUGUAAACUGCUUUUGUUUGGGAAGAAACCCCCGAUCGUGAUCGGGGCUGACGGUACCAUACGAAUAAGCAUCGGCUAACUCCGUGCCAGCAGCCGCGGUAAUACGGAGGAUGCAAGCGUUAUCCGGAUUCAUUGGGUUUAAAGGGUGCGCAGGCGGAAUAUUAAGUCAGUGGUGAAAUCCUGCAGCUUAACUGUAGAACUGCCAUUGAUACUGAUAUUCUUGAAUAUAGUUGAGGUAGGCGGAAUGUGUAAUGUAGCGGUGAAAUGCUUAGAUAUUACACAGAACACCAAUUGCGAAGGCAGCUCACUAAACUAAUAUUGACGCUGAGGCACGAAAGCGUGGGUAGCAAACAGGAUUAGAUACCCUGGUAGUCCACGCUGUAAACUAUGAUCACUCGCUGUUGGCAAUACAUCGUCAGCGGCUGAGCGAAAGCAUUAAGUGAUCCACCUGGGGAGUACGGUCGCAAGAUUGAAACUCAAAGGAAUUGACGGGGGCCCGCACAAGCGGAGGAACAUGUGGUUUAAUUCGAUGAUACGCGAGGAACCUUACCUGGGCUUAAAUGCAGAGCGACGUCCGCCGAAAGGUGGAUUCCUUCGGGCGAUCUGCAAGGUGCUGCAUGGUUGUCGUCAGCUCGUGCCGUGAGGUGUCGGGUUAAGUCCCAUAACGAGCGCAACCCUUAUCGUUAGUUGCCAGCGGGUAAUGCCGGGGACUCUAACGAAACUGCCGGUGUAAACCGUGAGGAAGGUGGGGAUGACGUCAAAUCAGCACGGCCCUUAUGUCCAGGGCUACACACGUGUUACAAUGGUCGGUACAGAGGGCAGCUACCACGCGAGUGGAUGCUAAUCUCGAAAACCGGUCUCAGUUCGGAUUGAAGUCUGCAACUCGACUUCAUGAAGCUGGAUUCGCUAGUAAUCGCGCAUCAGCCAUGGCGCGGUGAAUACGUUCCCGGGCAUUGUACACACCGCCCGUCAAGCCAUGGAAGCUUGGGGUACAUGAAGUCCGUAACCGCAAGGAGCGGCCUAGGGUAAGACAAGUGACUGGGGCUAAGUCG